AUGAAAACACCGGUAGUUGAUGAAAUAAUGAAGGGUGACUCUGUCCCUUCUUGUUAUUCACACUUUCCUGUGAAGAGGGACUGCUUAUGCAUAGAGGGUACCAUCUCCACAGAAGAUCAGAGUCCGUCAUUGCUACCUCACAACACGUACAGUGGUCUUCCUGAAAAACCUAGGAUUGAUUCUUCAAGUUUAAAAGCCGCGGAGCCUUUCCUCCCUCCUCCCAAGCAGAGCGAGAAACCGCAAAAUCUGAAGAUGUAAUUAUAUGGAAAUGAAGAUGUUUAUCAAGCUCCUUUUUAAUGUGCUGGGCACAGUGCGAGGACACUUCACAAGCUUGAUCUCAUUUAAUCCUUAAUCUCUGUAUAAAAUGAUGAUGUUAAUUUUUUUUUUCUUUACUGUUAAGAGAGCCAGGAUUUAGGUUAAUGUGUCCAAAGUUAGAAUGAGAUUGGCUCCUAGGGCUAUAUGAUUAUAAAGUCUGCCCUGCAAAUCAUUACAUGUUUGCUAUCAUUUUCCCAGAAUUAUAUUGAAAUAUUUUUCCAAAAUGAAAAAGGGUAGUUCAUAGCUUGCUUUUGAACAUUUCUGUAACCUCACUUGGCUUGAAAAAUUUAACAUUCAAUAAUCUGUAUAGACAUACUUAGACUUUUUAUAUAUAUACACACACACAGCAAAGAGAAUUGUGAACAUUCGAGAAGUAGGUUUAUGGCUCUGUAAUCUGCUUUGCUAUACAGAGGGUGUUGUGGUAAUUUUGUCUUUGGAUGUAAAACAGCGUCCAAGGUUGGCAGACAAACGCAGAGAGCCAGUUUUUGGCAUAAAUCUCUGAUUUUCUGGCAAAACUCGUUAGCAAUGUAAAAACUGUUAUUGAGAGCAUAUUGUGAUGAUACAUCAUGUCAAUAUUUGUUUGGCUGUGUAACACUGUGGAUUUAAUAAAUUAAUUCUUAAAUGUACAAUUUACAACUGAUGAGCUGUUUUAGAAAUAAACUGUAUGUGGUAUGUGUUGUCAGUGCCACAAACAUUUUGAUGUCUCAAGGACUUGCCUCUCUGAUUUUUUAGAUAAAUGUAUGGAUGGAUUAGGGCUUGUUGAAUUAGCUUUCAGUAUGCAAAUUACGCAGGAACGAAUAAGUGAAUGAGUGAGUCACAGAGGUCUUAAUCCUUUGUGACUUCUGCCAUAAAUCCAUCAUUAUCUGCAAGACUGUUUUACUCUGCAUUCCCAGUUUGGGCAUAGAAUUAGGCGAUGCCUAAAAAAAAAAUUGUUAAGUUACUAAAUCGUUUUUUGUAUGCUUAUUUUCUUGGUGUAUGAGAGAGGUAUACGUGGUACUUUGAGCCUAAAACCUAAAUUAUAAAGGAAGAAUCACUAUUCUUCCUAAAAAAAAGUACAUAUGGACAACUAAUAUUUCUUGAGUUUCUAGUAUGUAUUAGGCACUAGGUUUUACACU
This 1430-nucleotide long non-coding RNA is filed under the name Ursus thibetanus thibetanus. RNAcentral's name for it is "lncRNA (ENSUTTG00000019927.1)". The record is from RNAcentral. Lineage: Eukaryota; Metazoa; Chordata; Mammalia; Carnivora; Ursidae.